Molecule: ribosomal RNA, 484 nt
Filed under: uncultured bacterium
Lineage: Bacteria
Description: partial 16S ribosomal RNA
Rfam family: Bacterial small subunit ribosomal RNA
Source: RNAcentral
AUUGAACGCUGGCGGAAUGCUUUACACAUGCAAGUCGAGCGGCAGCACGGGGGCAACCCUGGUGGCGAGCGGCGAACGGGUGAGUAAUACAUCGGAACAUGCCCAAUCGUGGGGGAUAACACUUCGAAAGAAGUGCUAAUACCGCAUACGUCCUGAGGGAGAAAGCGGGGGAUCGCAAGACCUCGCGCGAUUGGAGUGGCCGAUGUCAGAUUAGCUAGUUGGUGGGGUAAAGGCCUACCAAGGCAACGAUCUGUAGCUGGUCUGAGAGGAUGAUCAGCCACACUGGGACUGAGACACGGCCCAGACUCCUACGGGAGGCAGCAGUGGGGAAUUUUGGACAAUGGGGGCAACCCUGAUCCAGCCAUUCCGCGUGAGUGAAGAAGGCCUUCGGGUUGUAAAGCUCUUUCGGCAGGAACGAAACGGCGAGCUCUAACAUAGCUUGCUAAUGACGGUACCUGAAGAAGAAGCACCGGCUAACUACGUG